GCCGGGCGCAGUGGCGCGUGCCUGUAGUCCCAGCUCUUCGGGAGGCUGAGGCUGGAGGAUCUCUUUGAGUCCAGGAGUUCUGGGCUGUAGUGCACUAUGCCGAUUGGGUGUCCGCACUAAGUUCGGCAUCAAUAUGGUGAACUCCCGGGAGCGGGGGACCACCAGGUUGCCUAAGGAGGGGUGAACCGGUCCAGGUCGGAAACGGAGCAGGUCAAAACUCCCGUGCUGAUCAGGAAUAAAUUUAACAAGGUACCAAACUUAGACUCUGAAAACUGCAUAACAUUGUU
RNAcentral lists this signal recognition particle RNA (287 nucleotides) under Aotus nancymaae (Ma's night monkey). RNAcentral's name for it is "Metazoan signal recognition particle RNA (ENSANAG00000004790.1)". It matches the Rfam family "Metazoan signal recognition particle RNA". Rfam says of the family: The signal recognition particle (SRP) is a universally conserved ribonucleoprotein. It is involved in the co-translational targeting of proteins to membranes. The record is from RNAcentral. Lineage: Eukaryota; Metazoa; Chordata; Mammalia; Primates; Aotidae.